Long non-coding RNA from Microtus ochrogaster (prairie vole), 2125 nucleotides. RefSeq lists it as uncharacterized. Lineage: Eukaryota; Metazoa; Chordata; Mammalia; Rodentia; Cricetidae. The transcript has 4 exons. The record is from RefSeq and is a predicted model, not a curated record.
CACGCUUCUCACAAGCCGUUCAGAACAGACAAUGAUUUUAGAUCAGGGCUAUGUGCAGAAGAAAGCAUGAACGGAAAUGGGUGUUAUCAGGGCAAAGCAAACCCAGAUGCCUUAACACCAUGGCAAAGAUGGAUUCUUGCCUCUUCCGUGAGCUGUGUUUCAGUAUCCAUGAACAUCUGACACUCAAUUACACGUGAGAGUUCUGCCUUUUAUCCUCCAUUGUCCCAAGUCUGCUAAACAAAGCAUUUCUUCCCCAGUGACAGUGACGCCUGGCUACGAGCUGGAGGCUCUCUCUGCCUGGGUCUGGGAAGUCGCUCUUUCCGGAAGGGUGGUGGAGACCCUGGGAAUCGGACCAGCCCGGCUCACAAGUAUGAAGAGAAUGUCGGGAGAGGAAGUGGUGGUUCUGAGUCAGCAUGAGUCAUCUGGUUCCAGUGGCAAUGAAGGCUGAGGUGUGCGCCUUUUUCUUUUUCUUGUCUUUUUUUUUUUUUUUUCUUAAUCAUGUGGACAACUCUGAGAAUGGAGGGGACUCAGUGACUUUACAGUGGCUGCUUUCUAAGUUUCAAAGUGACUUUCCAGGCAAGCUGAGCAUGUCUUGGGAUCUUCACAGCACAGUGGCUGGGAGUGGAGCCAUUCAUCAGCUUCUCCCCGAAUAACUGGGAGCUGAAACAGGAAGCCCCAUGACACAGUUGAUCGAAAAUGACACAGACACAGAAAAAUCAGGACGUGCCCCCAGCACCUCUACCUGCUGCCUGCUGAUCGCAGCGAGAAGGCAGGUGAAGGGUUUUCCCUGGGAAUGGACUCUGGCUACGGAGGACUCUGGCUGCCAGCAGUCCUUGGGGACCCUUCCUCCGUCUUAGAGAACGGCUGUGAUAUUCACCUCCGCCUUGCCUCCUCUAGCCUCUUGUCUCCAUUUUAUGAGGACCUGGAUGAUAACGAAAUUGUGUUUCGGGACCAGAGAUGGCAAGAUCUUCAAAUAAAAUGAUGUGAAGAUCCGAAUGCUUUGGACCUAUAGUUUAGAGGUAGAAAAUCUGCAGACUCUGAAGCCAGCCCAUCUGAAUGUCAUCUUCAGAUCUGUCUGUGAGAAUCACUACAGCUUCCACUUCCUCACUGAAUGAGUCUGCUUCAGUCCCAGCUCCAACACACAUGAGCUCUACAACCUUGUCUAGUCUUCCUGGGACCCACGUUCCUCAUCUGUUAAAUACAGCUGUUAGUAUUUUAGCUAUUGCAUAUUGUUGGCAGAAGUUUCUGUUCCAUCUGCGAGCUUCCAAAUAACCACACAGAGACUUAUUAUUAAUUAUAGAUGCUCAGCCAAUAGCAUAGGCUGGUUACUAACUAGCUCUUAUGACUUAUAUUAGCUCAUAUUUCUUAUCUACGCUCUACCACGUGGCAAUUCAUUUUUCAGCACAGCAAGUUCAUCUUGCCUCUCUCCCUGUCCCCUGGUGACUCUGCCCUUCUUCACCCCCAGGCUUCCUUUUUUCCUGUCCACAAGUCCUGCCUAACCUCUUCCUGCUCUCUAUUAAAUCAAUGAGAGCACACAUCUUCACAGUGUACAAAAGGAUUAUUCCACCACAGUACAUAAAAUUCUGAAGUAAUUCUUUCAUGCAGAAAACAGGAUAUACAUGUGCAUUGUUGCUUUUAUAUAAUUAUAAUUUUGCUUGAUUCCCUUUGUUCAUUGUACAAUCCUAUUUCCAAAGAAAAUAAACUCCAGUUUACUAAUAGGAGGAGAGGCCUACCUAGAUCCACCUCUGACCCAUCCAGCCCUGGCCAGCACAUACCUUCACUUAUCUUGCUUGUGCUACACACGAUUGCCCAGCUGUCUAGGUGGGGAUGUUGGAGCACACUUAUUUACCAGAUUGGUCUGGGCCACUGCAUUGUCUUUCAUUGAUAAGAUGUCUAUGUAAUUCCUUUUCAUUGGCACUAACCAUGGCUCUUUUUUGUUUGUGUUAUCGUUUCUCCGAGAUAGGGUCUUAUACUAUAGCUCAGGUGGGCCUAGAACUUACUAUGCAGUCCCUGCAGACCUCAGAUCCAUGGAAAUCUUCCUGUAUCACCUUCCCAAGUGUUUGAGUUAAGUCAUGAGCCAGCCAUCGUCCCCAGCUUCUGUUCUUCUGUUGUAGUUACAAUUUUG